CAUUUUUAUAUCUCCACCCUGUGCACCUCUUGUAAAUCUGAAUAACUUUCUGAUUGCGCCGAGCAAUCAGGUUUGAGGAUUGAUUUUUUUCUUCCCUUAAAUUUUCAGGUUUAUGUUUUUCAUAUACCCCCAAGUAUGUUAUAGAAUGUUAUGAACGGGCCUUUUGUGCCUAUAAAAUUUAUACAACUUUCAGCAACGGAUCUCUUGGCUCUCGCAUCGAUGAAGAACGCAGCGAAAUGCGAUAAGUAAUGUGAAUUGCAGAAUUCAGUGAAUCAUCGAAUCUUUGAACGCACCUUGCGCUCCUUGGUAUUCCGAGGAGCAUGCCUGUUUGAGUGUCAUUAAUAUAUCAACCUCUUCAGCUUUUUGCAUGUUGAAUGUUGGAUGUGGGGGUAUCUUUUGCUGGACUCUAUAAAAUGAGGUCAGCUCCCCUAAAAUGCAUCAGCGAAACAAUUUGUUUACCGCUCAUUGGUGUGAUAACUAUCUACGCUAUUGACGGUGACGCAUGUUUAGCUUCUAAUAGUCCA
RNAcentral lists this ribosomal RNA (524 nucleotides) under uncultured fungus. Its description in RNAcentral is "eukaryotic LSU rRNA". The stretch from base 185 to 338 matches the Rfam family "5.8S ribosomal RNA". Lineage: Eukaryota; Fungi. The record is from RNAcentral.